Gopherus evgoodei (Goodes thornscrub tortoise) is the source of this 327-nucleotide long non-coding RNA. RefSeq lists it as uncharacterized. The transcript has 3 exons. The record is from RefSeq and is a predicted model, not a curated record. NCBI's taxonomy places the organism in Eukaryota, Metazoa, Chordata, Testudines, Testudinidae.
UUGGUCAUCCUGAGUCUGCUCUAGGAUAUGCAGAUUUCCCUUUUUGGUUGGCCAGACCACAGGCCUCCUUUUCUUUUGUUUACAGGCACACUCAAUGUGUCCCUUUUUGCCACAGUGUCGACACACCAGGUCCUUACACUAGCAUUCUGAUGCAUGGUGACCCGGCUUACCACAGGGGUAACAUUCCUGACUCCCCACAGUUUUGUGGGUAGAUUCUUGUGACACCUCAUGCACCCUAGGGGAUGCACCGAUGGAUUGUGCCUCCUUUGUAGCCAGUUCCAUGUAGACAGCAAUAUCAAUGGCCUUCUGUAAGGGAGACAAGGGGCU